This 492-nucleotide ribosomal RNA is filed under the name uncultured bacterium. RNAcentral's name for it is "partial 16S ribosomal RNA". It matches the Rfam family "Bacterial small subunit ribosomal RNA", at positions 29 to 507 of the family's 1533-position model. The record is from RNAcentral.
AGUGAACGCUGGCGGUAGGCCUAACACAUGCAAGUCGAACGGCAGCACAGUAAGAGCUUGCUCUUACGGGUGGCGAGUGGCGGACGGGUGAGGAAUACAUCGGAAUCUACUUUUUCGUGGGGGAUAACGUAGGGAAACUUACGCUAAUACCGCAUACGACCUACGGGUGAAAGCAGGGGAUCUUCGGACCUUGCGCGAUUGAAUGAGCCGAUGUCGGAUUAGCUAGUUGGCGGGGUAAAGGCCCACCAAGGCGACGAUCCGUAGCUGGUCUGAGAGGAUGAUCCGCCACACUGGAACUGAGACACGGUCCAGACUCCUACGGGAAGCAGCAGUGGGGAAUAUUGGACAAUGGGCGCAAGCCUGAUCCAGCCAUACCGCGUGGGUGAAGAAGGCCUUCGGGUUGUAAAGCCCUUUUGUUGGGAAAGAAAAGCAGCAGGUUAAUACCCCGCUGUUCUGACGGUACCCAAAGAAUAAGCACCGGCUAACUUCGUG